CUUGCCCAUGAUGGGUAGCUCAGUUGGUAAAGCACAAGACUCUUAACCUUAGGGUUGUGGGUUCGAGCCCCACAUUGAGCCCCAAGA
Non-coding RNA from Podarcis lilfordi (Lilford's wall lizard), 87 nucleotides. The record is from the annotation of a GenBank genome assembly. Lineage: Eukaryota; Metazoa; Chordata; Lepidosauria; Squamata; Lacertidae.